GACGAACGCUGGCGGCGUGCCUAAUACAUGCAAGUCGAACGCUGAAGAGAGGAGCUUGCUCUUCUUGGAUGAGUUGCGAACGGGUGAGUAACGCGUAGGUAACCUGCCUUGUAGCGGGGGAUAACUAUUGGAAACGAUAGCUAAUACCGCAUAACAAUGGAUGACACAUGUCAUUUAUUUGAAAGGGGCAAUUGCUCCACUACAAGAUGGACCUGCGUUGUAUUAGCUAGUAGGUGAGGUAAUGGCUCACCUAGGCGACGAUACAUAGCCGACCUGAGAGGGUGAUCGGCCACACUGGGACUGAGACACGGCCCAGACCCCUACGGGAGGCAGCAGUAGGGAAUCUUCGGCAAUGGGGGCAAACCUGACCGAGCAACGCCGCGUGAGUGAAGAAGGGUUUCGGAUCGUAAAGCUCUGUUGUAAGUCAAGAACGGGUGUGAGAGUGGAAAGUUCACACUGUGACGGUAGCUUACCAGAAAGGGACGGCUAACUACGUG
Molecule: ribosomal RNA, 497 nt
Filed under: uncultured bacterium
Lineage: Bacteria
Description: partial 16S ribosomal RNA
Rfam family: Bacterial small subunit ribosomal RNA
Source: RNAcentral